Oncorhynchus tshawytscha (Chinook salmon) is the source of this 441-nucleotide long non-coding RNA. The record is from Ensembl. NCBI's taxonomy places the organism in Eukaryota, Metazoa, Chordata, Actinopteri, Salmoniformes, Salmonidae.
AUGCAGAUACCUCCAAGCGUUGCGGUAGGCUGUGUGGAGUGUUUAUCCGACUGGAUAAAAAAUCAUAAUAAUAAUAAUAAUAUUAUGUCCCCUCCACUACUAAAACAAAAGUUGCACCCCUGGUGGAUGGUGUAUAGGUGCAGGGUUAGAUGGUGUAUAGGUGCAGGGUUAGAUGGUGUAUAGGUGUAGGGUUAGAUGGUGUAUAGGUGUAGGGUUAGAUGGUGUAUAGGUGCAGGGUUAGAUGGUGUAUAGGUGCAGGGUUAGAUGGUGUAUAGGUGCAGGGUUAGAUGGUGGUGCAAUGUACGUUUUUCACAUUCCCCUUUAUUUGUUGGUUUCGUCACAAUGUGGAAUUCACAUUCAGAACUGAGAAAUGCAGCAAUAUUCCAAAAAGCGUCUAGUCGGCCGGAAAUUCACAAGAAGAAGCCGAAACAAGGGUGGUUU